This 396-nucleotide long non-coding RNA is filed under the name Monodelphis domestica (gray short-tailed opossum). RNAcentral describes it as "lncRNA (ENSMODG00000036229.2)". Lineage: Eukaryota; Metazoa; Chordata; Mammalia; Didelphimorphia; Didelphidae. The record is from RNAcentral.
GUCUUCCCAGUAGGCGGGCGCUCUUUUGGACUUCCAUUUUGGAGCAGAGGUGUCUCUUCCAUGAUAUAUAAACCAGGAAAAAUGGAUGAAAGUGAAAAAGUAGUAAAUUUAGAUUUGAUGUCAAGAGAAAAAUAUCCAAAACAUUCCAGCUAUUCAAAACGUGGAUUGGACUAUCUUGAGUGGAUGUGCCUUCACUGAUGGUCUUCAACAGUGACUGGAUGAACAUUUGGGAGGCAAAGUGUUGAUUGAACAUGACCUUGGAAUCAUCUGGGGCUGUGAAAAGUGGACUGCAUUCUAUUCUUACCAUGAGAUCAUUUAUUUCUUCUUCCUAUGGUUCUUACCCAUAUGCUUUCUACCACACAUUUCUCUUUACAUGUAAGUAUGAUUAACUGACUU